CCCUUAGACGUUCUGGGCCGCACGCGCGCUACACUGACGAAGGCAACGAGCUUUCCUUUACCGAAAGGUAUGGGUAAUCUUUUGAAACUGUGUCGUGCUGGGGAUAGAUCCUUGCAAUUUUUGAUCUUAAACGAGGAAUUCCUAGUAAGCGCGAGUCAUCAACUCGCGUUGAUUACGUCCCUGCCCUUUGUACACACCGCCCGUCGCUACUACCGAUUGAAUGGCUUAGUGAGGCCUCAGGAUCCGCGCUUAAUGUGUGGAGAAUUUGGACAAACUACGUCAUUUAGAGGAAGUAAAAGUCGUAACA
This 307-nucleotide ribosomal RNA is filed under the name uncultured eukaryote. Its description in RNAcentral is "partial 18S ribosomal RNA". It matches the Rfam family "Eukaryotic small subunit ribosomal RNA", at positions 1470 to 1796 of the family's 1831-position model. The record is from RNAcentral.